AAAAUUCUGAAACAUGAAUGUUUGUGGUCUUUUCUGACUUUCUUCUGAGCGAUGAGUACUAAGUUAAGAUUUAAUACAAAUCACUAAAUUAUUUUGCAGAAGAUGUGCAACAGUUGAUACCUGCCCACAAGUUCCAUGGACUUCCCUGGUAGUCCAGUGGCCAAGACUCCAUGUUCCUAAUGCAGGGGGCUGAAAUUUGGUCCCUGAUCAGGGAACUAGAUGCCACGUGCCACAGCUAAGAAUUCACAUGCCGUAACUAAAGAUUCUGCAUGUCGCAGCAAAGACCCGGUGAAGCCAAUUUGCUGAUCAGUGACUCUCUGGGCCUCAUCUUAUCUGGACAGUUGGAAGAUGCCUGCCCGGAGCCAAGAGAAGAGAAUCACUGCAGCAAAACACGGGUGUGGAGGCGGGACCCCAAGUACAUGCUCUGUCUCGGUCUUUCCUUGCUCAGAGGCAGCUGUG
Cervus elaphus (red deer) is the source of this 459-nucleotide long non-coding RNA. RefSeq lists it as uncharacterized. NCBI's taxonomy places the organism in Eukaryota, Metazoa, Chordata, Mammalia, Artiodactyla, Cervidae. The transcript has 3 exons. The record is from RefSeq and is a predicted model, not a curated record.